RNAcentral lists this ribosomal RNA (1083 nucleotides) under Hyaloscypha cf. hepaticicola. Its description in RNAcentral is "eukaryotic LSU rRNA". The stretch from base 475 to 1083 matches the Rfam family "Eukaryotic large subunit ribosomal RNA", at positions 1 to 623 of the family's 3401-position model. The record is from RNAcentral. Lineage: Eukaryota; Fungi; Ascomycota; Leotiomycetes; Helotiales; Hyaloscyphaceae.
GGAUCAUUAAAGAAUGGCCCGUUUUUUGAAAUGGGUUCUAUUCCCCAAACCGUGUAUACAUACCUUUAUUGCUUUGGCAGGCCGCCUUCGGGCGUCGGCUCACGCUGACCGCGCCUGCCAGAGGACCCAAACUCGUUUGUUUAGUGAUGUCUGAGUACUAUAUAAUAGUUAAAACUUUCAACAACGGAUCUCUUGGUUCUGGCAUCGAUGAAGAACGCAGCGAAAUGCGAUAAGUAAUGUGAAUUGCAGAAUUCAGUGAAUCAUCGAAUCUUUGAACGCACAUUGCGCCCCUUGGUAUUCCGAGGGGCAUGCCUGUUCGAGCGUCAUUAUAACCACUCAAGCCUAGCUUGGCAUUGGGGUUCGCGGUCUCGCGGCCCUUAAAAUCAGUGGCGGUGCCAUCUGGCUCUAAGCGUAGUAAUUUAUCUCGCUAUUGGGUCCGGUGGUUGCUUGCCAACAACCCCUAACUUCUAAGGUUGACCUCGGAUCAGGUAGGGAUACCCGCUGAACUUAAGCAUAUCAAUAAGCGGAGGAAAAGAAACCAACAGGGAUUGCCUCAGUAACGGCGAGUGAAGCGGCAACAGCUCAAAUUUGAAAUCUGGCUCUUUUGGGGUCCGAGUUGUAAUUUGUAGAAGAUGCUUUGGGUGUAGCUCCGGUCUAAGUUCCUUGGAACAGGACGUCAUAGAGGGUGAGAAUCCCGUAUGUGACUGGGUUGCUUUCGCUCGUGUAAAGCUCUUUCGACGAGUCGAGUUGUUUGGGAAUGCAGCUCAAAAUGGGUGGUAAAUUUCAUCUAAAGCUAAAUAUUGGCCAGAGACCGAUAGCGCACAAGUAGAGUGAUCGAAAGAUGAAAAGCACUUUGGAAAGAGAGUUAAACAGUACGUGAAAUUGUUGAAAGGGAAGCGCUUGCAACCAGACUUGCGCGCUGCUGAUCAUCCGAGCUUUUGCCCGGUGCACUCGGCAGCGUUCAGGCCAGCAUCGGUUUUGGUGGGCGGAUAAAGGCCUUGGGAAUGUAGCUUCUUUCGGGGAGUGUUAUAGCCCUCGGUGCAAUGCGCCCUACCGGGACCGAGGACCGCGCUUCGGCUAGGA